Molecule: non-coding RNA, 742 nt
Organism: Lynx canadensis (Canada lynx)
Lineage: Eukaryota; Metazoa; Chordata; Mammalia; Carnivora; Felidae
Source: the annotation of a RefSeq genome assembly
CCUACCGUGCAGCUGGGAGACAAGCCCCAGCCCCAGGAGUCCCAGGUGUUCCCAUUCUGUGAUCAGCACAGAACACACACACCUCACCAUGGAGUUUGUGCUGGGCUGGGUGUUCCUGGUUGCUCUUUUAAAAGGUGUCCAGUGUGACGUUCAGCUGGUGGAGUCUGGGGGAGACCUGGUGAAGCCCGGGGGGUCCCUGAGACUCACCUGUGUGGCCUCUGGAUUCACCUUCAGUGACUACAACAUGGACUGGGUCCGCCAGGCUCCAGGAAAGGGGCUGCAGUGGGUCGCGUAUAUUAGUAGUAGUGGAGGUAGCACAAGCUACGAAGACUCCGUGAAGGGCCGAUUCACCAUCUCCAGAGACAACUCCAAGAACACGCUGUAUCUGCAGAUGAACAAUCUCAAGACCGAGGACACGGCCACAUAUUACUGUGCAAGAGACACAGUGAGGGGACAUCACUGCGAACCCAGACACAAACCUCCCUGCUGGAGGGGAUCAGCACCACAAGGGGGCGCACACUAUGCACAAUUCUGCUUUGUGUUCCCAGGCGCAGGUGCAGAUGGAGGUUACAGGCAGACUCUGCUGAUGAUGACUCAGGAUGCUCAGGGAGCCUUGCAGAUGGACUACCCCUUCAUGCCUCCAGACUGUUACUACCUCGGCUACCUGGAGGAGAUUCCUUUUUCCAUGGUCACAAUUGACACAGGCUAUGGCAGCCUUGAAGAUAUCAUGAAGUUGGAUUAA